Molecule: long non-coding RNA, 749 nt
Organism: Cloeon dipterum
Lineage: Eukaryota; Metazoa; Arthropoda; Insecta; Ephemeroptera; Baetidae
Exons: 3
Source: RefSeq, a predicted model, not a curated record
UUCCGAGAUAAAUUUUUGAAAUUUUCUUGAUUAUUUAUUUUACUCAUCGCUGCGAUAACAACUAAUUUCAAGCGAGAGUAUGUUGUAAUUGAUUGCUUAAUGAUUUUGUUUUUGUUAUGAUCUCACCUGACUGCCAUUAUUGUUUUCUGCUUUUGCUCCCUUCAUUUCCUGUCGAUUUCCCCCGAACGGUAGAGGGCCGCCGGGAGCAGCACAUAUAGCAGAAGUGUAUUAAAUUUAUUUCAAAGCACAAUUCAGCACGCAGGGAGCAGAAUUUUCAGAAAAUAUCGUUUUUUACUUUGCUCUCAUGCGAAACCCAAGUGAAGUGAUUUUUGGAACCCUUCUCCUCAUUCUUAUAGCUCCUUCCUUCACACAGCCCACAUCUCCUGUUUUAAAGUGGAUGGAACGGUGUGAAUUUCAAAGCAACGUUAAUAUGUCGGACCAGACGCUGAUUUGCGACAUUGACAACAUUCCUCAAGAUUUAGGAACAAUUCUUGCGCUAUUGAGUUUUAGGGGCCAAUGCUCAGAAAGAGAAGUGAAUAAAGAAGCUGUAUGUACAUCUUCAGACGAAACACGUCUUUGCUUGCCGAAAUCUGAAGGCGAAGUUGGUUUCAUGCGCUCGACUUUUAUGCAUCACAUCAUCAAUACUCUCUCGACGCUGCAGUUGCUUUGGACACCUGCAUAUUUCUUCCGCUACAAAGACACAGUUGGAUACUAACCAGAAAAUAAAAUAGUAUGACCAUUUUUAUGCU